RNAcentral lists this ribosomal RNA (576 nucleotides) under Triticum aestivum (bread wheat). RNAcentral describes it as "partial small subunit ribosomal RNA". Lineage: Eukaryota; Viridiplantae; Streptophyta; Magnoliopsida; Poales; Poaceae. The record is from RNAcentral.
AUGAAGGAUGCCCUUGAAGCUUACGACGAGCUCCAAUGCAAGUACCGUGCAAAAAGAAAGCGCCAACAACAGAUCGUAACGCUUGAUAUGUCUAUUCGUGGUUCGUGUAUGGUGAAUGCAAACUUGCAGAGUGUUUGUGAGUCUGCAACAAAAACAAUCCUCCAAGCGGCUAAAGUUAUUUUUAGUUUUUCGUCCUAUGUCGAUGGUAAACUCAUGGCACGAUCAUCUGCCCAAUAUACGGCCCUAACCCAGUGGUCAGGUACAGAUGAGUAUCUACCUGAUGCUGAGAUUAUUGCUCAUUUGUUGGAUGAAGAUGAGACAACUGUACCUGCAAUCUUGUUUCGCUAUGACAAGCACACCAAUAUUGCCUUGUUGAAGGUUAAUUUAGACUUGUGUGCUAAGAUUCCUAGGUUUAGUAGUGACAUAAACUACGGUCAGGAGAUACUUGUGCUCGGUAGAGAUGAAUGUUUAAACCUGACAAUUGCUCAAGGAUGUGUUAAUUUCAUGGGCCCAACUACAUACGAACGUCAUCAUUAUCUAUUCACUGGUUGUGAGCAUUGGAGGAAUGGUUAUUGA